Molecule: ribosomal RNA, 397 nt
Filed under: uncultured bacterium
Lineage: Bacteria
Description: partial 16S ribosomal RNA
Rfam family: Bacterial small subunit ribosomal RNA
Source: RNAcentral
CUACGUAGGGGGCGAGCGUUGUCCGGAAUGAUUGGGCGUAAAGGGCGCGUAGGCGGCGCGGUAAGUCUGGAGUGAAAGUCCUGCUUUCAAGGUGGGAAUUGCUUUGGAUACUGCCGCGCUUGAGUGCAGGAGAGGUUAUCGGAAUUCCCGGUGUAGCGGUGAAAUGCGUAGAGAUCGGGAGGAACACCAGUGGCGAAGGCGGGUAACUGGACUGCAACUGACGCUGAGGCGCGAAAGUGUGGGGAGCAAACAGGAUUAGAUACCCUGGUAGUCCACACUGUAAACGAUGAAUACUAGGUGUCGGGUUUCUAUAGAGAUUCGGUGCCGCAGCAAACGCAAUAAGUAUUCCACCUGGGGAGUACGUUCGCAAGAAUGAAACUCAAAGGAAUUGACGGGG